RNAcentral lists this ribosomal RNA (253 nucleotides) under uncultured bacterium. RNAcentral describes it as "partial 16S ribosomal RNA". It matches the Rfam family "Bacterial small subunit ribosomal RNA", at positions 524 to 776 of the family's 1533-position model. The record is from RNAcentral.
UACGAAGGGGGCUAGCGUUGCUCGGAAUUACUGGGCGUAAAGGGCGCGUAGGCGGCACUGUUAGUCAGGCGUGAAAGUCCUGGGCUCAACCUGGGAACUGCGCUUGAUACGGCAGAGCUAGAGGAUGGAAGAGGCUCGCGGAAUUCCCAGUGUAGAGGUGAAAUUCGUAGAUAUUAGGAGGAACACCGGUGGCGAAGGCGGCUGCCUGGACCGAUACUGACGCUGAGACGCGAAAGCGUGGGGAGCAAACAGG